Molecule: long non-coding RNA, 671 nt
Organism: Cyanistes caeruleus (blue tit)
Lineage: Eukaryota; Metazoa; Chordata; Aves; Passeriformes; Paridae
Source: RefSeq, a predicted model, not a curated record
ACAUAAUCACUAUGAAAUGCGACUCCAACUGUCCUGAAACCACUUUCAAGCUCAGAAAUCCUUAACAGUGUGGCCCUGUGGAAGAGAAUUUGGCAAGGUGUAUUUGCCUAUUUGUGUAUGUGUCAUGUAUGUACAGGUGCCUGUCUUGACUUGUAGCCUGCAAAAUUGAUGUGAGAGUUUUUGGCACCAGUUUGUGAACCUAAACUGCCCCAGUUCCUGGCCAUCUCUACCUCUCCUGUGCUCCCUUGUACUUAAGGUAAGUUACACAGAGUGUGUUGACAAAAGAGCAGGACUUAUUGCCUAAUUUUUUCUAGGAGCCUGUCCAGUGUUCAAGGGCAUUCAAAUGUUCCAUCCAGAGUCCAUGCAGUGGGCUAAAACUACGUUUGUGGCAUAUGUUUGUUAAACUGUUGUGAAUUUGGGAGGGAUGGUGAGCACUGGAAAACUGAGUCAGGUUUAAAAGUUAUCUUGAGGAUAAUGAUGGAGUGACUGUUCAGCAACAGCUCUGCCAGAAAUGAUCUGCAGGUCACCUCACAUCAUCCUGUUCCUCUCACCAAGCUGUGGUGAUGCCUUUUCCUCACUGAAGUGACAGCUGUGUGGCUCCCUGACUUCUAGGUGAAUUGGCUGGUCCUGCAGACUUAUCUGGUUACUAAAUAAAAAGCCAUUUAAAGAUU